UCGUAAAAGGUAACCAGGCUCACGGGGUGGAUUAGGGGCAAACGGUUGACUCACACUUGAGUAACCUGCCCUUAACUCUGGGAUAAGCCUGGGAAACUAGGUCUAAUACCGGAUAGGAGCGCCUACCGCAUGGUGGGUGUUGGAAAGAUUUAUCGGUUUUGGAUGGACUCGCGGCCUAUCAGCUUGUUGGUGAGGUAAUGGCUCACCAAGGCGACGACGGGUAGCCGGCCUGAGAGGGUGACCGGCCACACUGGGACUGAGACACGGCCCAGACUCCUACGGGAGGCAGCAGUGGGGAAUAUUGCACAAUGGGCGAAAGCCUGAUGCAGCGACGCCGCGUGAGGGAUGACGGCCUUCGGGUUGUAAACCUCUUUCAGUAGGGAAGAAGCGAAAGUGACGGUACCUGCAGAAGAAGCACCGGCUAACUACGUGCCAGCAGCCGCGGUAAUACGUAGGGUGCGAGCGUUAUCCGGAAUUAUUGGGCGUAAAGAGCUCGUAGGCGGUUUGUCGCGUCUGUCGUGAAAGUCCGGGGCUUAACCCCGGAUCUGCGGUGGGUACGGGCAGACUAGAGUGCAGUAGGGGAGACUGGAAUUCCUGGUGUAGCGGUGGAAUGCGCAGAUAUCAGGAGGAACACCGAUGGCGAAGGCAGGUCUCUGGGCUGUAACUGACGCUGAGGAGCGAAAGCAUGGGGAGCGAACAGGAUUAGAUACCCUGGUAGUCCAUGCCGUAAACGUUGGGCACUAGGUGUGGGGACCAUUCCACGGUUUCCGCGCCGCAGCUAACGCAUUAAGUGCCCCGCCUGGGGAGUACGGCCGCAAGGCUAAAACUCAAAGGAAUUGACGGGGGCCCGCACAAGCGGCGGAGCAUGCGGAUUAAUUCGAUGCAACGCGAAGAACCUUACCAAGGCUUGACAUGUUCUCGAUCGCCGUAGAGAUACGGUUUCCCCUUUGGGGCGGGUUCACAGGUGGUGCACUGGUUGUCGUCAGCUCGUGUCGUGAGAUGUUGGGUUAAGUCCCGCAACGAGCGCAACCCUCGUUCCAUGUGGCCAGAACAUAAUGGUGGGGACUCAUGGGAGACUGCCGGGGUCAACUCGGAGGAAGGUGAGGACGACGUCAAAUCAUCAUGCCCCUUAUGUCUUGGGCUUCACGCAUGCUACAAUGGCCGGUACAAUGGGCUGCGAUACUGUGAGGUGGAGCUAAUCCCAAAAAGCCGGUCUCAGUUCGGAUUGGGGUCUGCAACUCGACCCCAUGAAGUCGGAGUCGCUAGUAAUCGCAGAUCAGCAACGCUGCGGUGAAUACGUUCCCGGGCCUGGUACACACCGCCAUAAAAAUCACGAAAGUUGGUCCACC
This 1349-nucleotide ribosomal RNA is filed under the name Micrococcus sp. 37.1. RNAcentral describes it as "bacterial SSU rRNA". It matches the Rfam family "Bacterial small subunit ribosomal RNA", at positions 66 to 1420 of the family's 1533-position model. The record is from RNAcentral. Lineage: Bacteria; Bacillati; Actinomycetota; Actinomycetes; Micrococcales; Micrococcaceae.